UUGGAACACACUUUCAGUCUCCUAAGCAGUUUAAGACGAUCACUUCGCUUGUGCUUGUUCUGCGAUCUUGUAGUCCUUUAACCUGAGAUACUCAUCUUCCUUCACCAUUACUGGUGUUUAAGACGUUCUCUCAUUAACCUUCCCCUUCCUUGUUUGGCAACCCCAUUAGGACUCCUUUCUAGCCUGAGAUACUCGUCUCCCUUCACCACUCUUGGUGUUUACGACGUUCUCUCAUUUAGCACUUCAACAACCUUUCUACCCUUCAUCCGAUAUACUUGAGACCUAUUCGCAAUUGUCCUUUGUUUCAGCUGCUCCACCUUGAGCUAAAACAUCCAUCACAUCUUAUCCGUCACAGGUAAAUUUUCUUGCUCCAUACUAGCUCUUUAUUAUCGAUAAGAAAUAACAGUAGUCCCUUACUCAUUAUUUCUUCUUGUGCGAGGUGUCUCAAUAAUAAAAUUUCCUGUGACACUUUUCUCCUAUUAGUGGACAUUGGGAAGUUCACAGCGAAGCUGCAACUUCUGAUCAGAUAUGUUUCCGAAAUAGAAUGACAGCAGAUUCAAAGUGUGAUCAUCAACUAUCUCGGCAUCUGAUCGAGAACAUCUCAAGAAUCCUACAAGGAUCAAUCCGGAUCCGGUUGAAACCGGACCACCAAAGAGAACGGAUGAACCUCGA
Brassica oleracea var. oleracea is the source of this 672-nucleotide long non-coding RNA. RefSeq lists it as uncharacterized. The transcript has 3 exons. The record is from RefSeq and is a predicted model, not a curated record. Lineage: Eukaryota; Viridiplantae; Streptophyta; Magnoliopsida; Brassicales; Brassicaceae.